RNAcentral lists this unclassified non-coding RNA (711 nucleotides) under Leishmania donovani. Its description in RNAcentral is "gene:unknown". The record is from RNAcentral. Lineage: Eukaryota; Euglenozoa; Kinetoplastea; Trypanosomatida; Trypanosomatidae.
GAAGAAAGCGGCAGCAGAGCAGCACGGCGACAAAAAAGAAACACCCCCGCACACACGAGAGGCGAGAAGCGGCGGAGGGACGACGGUGAUGGCGUGUGGGUGCCGAGUGCGUGUGCCGUGUGCAGAGAUGAGGCGCGGAGGGCUGGUGGAGAGGGGGAAUGAUAGAUGAGACAGCACCAUUAUGGUUUGUCUUGGUUUCUCGCCCCACUUCUCACUCCCUCGACCUUCCUCGUCUUGGGCAGUACACCGCGUCUCCUGCGGCCCCCCUCCCCCUCCUCCUUCCCGGCGGUCAUCUCUUCACCUGCGCACCUUGUCCGUGAAACUCUCUUGCGCCUUCUCUAUCUGCGUGUGUGUGUGUGUGAUAGGGAAAACAAGAAUAUCUAUAUCCACACAAACACACACACACACACACACACCUCUCUAUAUAUGGAUAUGUACAGAUGUAUACCUGUAUGCAUCGAUAAAGCAACCGAAAAAAAAGUUAAACAGCGGGCAGCAGCCCUCCCAAGUGCUUGCAACUCUGUGUCUCUGUGUGGGAGGCAGUCACGAUGUGCAGAGGAGAAGAGCACGCCGUGACGCCAGGUCCCGGCGAUGCACCCUUGUGGAGGAGGUGGAGGUGGCUCCACGGCGUUUGUGAUCGCACUUCGGGGGGGGACUGCCCGCUCACAAACGUCAAUCAACUAAGCAAGUGAUAUACACACGAGAAACAGC